RNAcentral lists this ribosomal RNA (433 nucleotides) under uncultured bacterium. RNAcentral's name for it is "partial 16S ribosomal RNA". It matches the Rfam family "Bacterial small subunit ribosomal RNA", at positions 29 to 507 of the family's 1533-position model. The record is from RNAcentral.
AGCGAACGCUGGCGGCAGGCUUAACACAUGCAAGUCGAGCGGGCCCUUCGGGGUCAGCGGCAGACGGGUGAGUAACACGUGGGAACGUACCCUUUGGUUCGGAAUAACGCUGGGAAACUAGCGCUAAUACCGGAUACGCCCUUUUGGGGAAAGGCUUGCUGCCGAAGGAUCGGCCCGUGUCUGAUUAGCUAGUUGGUGGGGUAAUGGCCUACCAAGGCGACGUUCAGUAGCUGGUCUGAGAGGAUGAUUAGCACCGAUGGGACUGAGACACGGCCCAGACUCCUACGGGAGGCAGCAGUGGGGAGUAUUAGGCAAUGGGCGCAAGCGUGAUCCAGCCGUGCCGCGUGAGUGAUGAAGGCCUUAGGGUUGUAAAGCUCUUUUGUCCGGGACGAUAAUGACGGUACCGGAAGAAUAAGCCCCGGCUAACUUCGUG